UACGUAGGGUGCGAGCGUUGUCCGGAAUUACUGGGCGUAAAGAGUUCGUAGGCGGUUUGUCGCGUCGUUCGUGAAAACUUGGGGCUUAACUCCAAGCGUGCGGGCGAUACGGGCAGACUUGAGUACUACAGGGGAGACUGGAAUUCCUGGUGUAGCGGUGAAAUGCGCAGAUAAUCAGGAGGAACACCGGUGGCGAAGGCGGGUCUCUGGGUAGUAACUGACGCUGAGGAACGAAAGCGUGGGUAGCGAACAGG
RNAcentral lists this ribosomal RNA (254 nucleotides) under uncultured bacterium. RNAcentral's name for it is "partial 16S ribosomal RNA". It matches the Rfam family "Bacterial small subunit ribosomal RNA", at positions 524 to 776 of the family's 1533-position model. The record is from RNAcentral.